AACGGGGAAGCUGAAAACCGAACAGAGUAAGCG
This 33-nucleotide non-coding RNA is filed under the name unclassified sequences. RNAcentral describes it as "DUF805b RNA". It matches the Rfam family "DUF805b RNA". Rfam says of the family: Bacteroidetes, Chlorobi (1 example), Proteobacteria. The record is from RNAcentral.